Molecule: transfer RNA, 72 nt
Filed under: Elusimicrobia bacterium RIFCSPHIGHO2_02_FULL_57_9
Lineage: Bacteria; Pseudomonadati; Elusimicrobiota
Also listed under: 1 other name
Description: tRNA-Thr
Rfam family: tRNA
About the family: Transfer RNA (tRNA) molecules are approximately 80 nucleotides in length. Their secondary structure includes four short double-helical elements and three loops (D, anti-codon, and T loops).
Source: RNAcentral
GCUGGGAUAGCUCAGGGGUAGAGCAUCCCCUUGGUAAGGGGAAGGUCGUGGGUUCAAUUCCCAUUCCCAGCU